Strigops habroptila (Kakapo) is the source of this 372-nucleotide long non-coding RNA. RefSeq lists it as uncharacterized. The transcript is spliced from 3 exons. NCBI's taxonomy places the organism in Eukaryota, Metazoa, Chordata, Aves, Psittaciformes, Psittacidae. The record is from RefSeq and is a predicted model, not a curated record.
AAAAGCACGUGUAUUUUUUCAUCAGGCCAGUCAUGAAGAACACGUGAAAGGAUAUAAAGAUCUGCUUCUGGAAGAUUAUCCUUGAAGAAGUCACCUGUUGGAAAGCAGAGUUAGUACAUUCCUGCGGAAAUCACAGAGGACAUUCCUACAAAAUGAAAUGAAAAUAUUGCAGAGAAAUGAGGAGCUUCAGCAGAGGCUCGAUGGUUCUGCCUGCUCCCUUCUUUGACAGCAGACUCCAGGAAUGUGAAGAGAGGCCAAAGGUGGUCAUUAGAGUGGAUAAUGUAGCCAUGAAAGUCUGCCUCCACAAACAACAAAUACCUGGAGCGCACAACUGUCCAGCCACACACCUGACUGUUGGAAGGAACUACAGAG